UGCAGUGACAUCGAACAAGUCGAUAGGCUUCCAUCAGUACGCACUUCCGUACAUCUUUAUUCAUCAUGAAUGCUACGUUAACAUGAACUACGUUUCUUCUUUUGUAACAAACAGUUUUGUACACUGUUCGAUUAUAAUCCAACAUACAUGCGAACUCGUGUUGUCAACUUCCUUGAAGCUCCACUGGAAUUACUGCUCUGCAGUCCCAAACCUUGAUGAAAGAAACAAUACAACACAUAACAAAGGAUUGAUCAAAAGGAAUUUCUAUGAUAAAAAGCAGGAAAAUGUAAUGUUUAAGAAUCCGGACCAUCUACUCUAAUUAAAACGUGGGGGUCAACAAUAAUACCUAUGCUGGAAGGGAGUUUUACCUGUUUUUUCCGAUCACCAGUCCAUAAUGCCAGCAGCUCUGCCAUGAAAAUGUAACAGAGCUUUGCUGUAAAAUAGCAACAAGCGAAGAACUUCAUCAGUAAUUCAGUAUUUCUAUUACAGGAAGAGCAAGCAAAAUAUAAUGGAGAGAUAAAGAACUUUCAGAAAGCUAUAGACUUUUCUUUUAGUUUCUUUUCUUCUUUUUCAGGAAGAAAAUGAGUUUUCCCAUUCAUUGCUUCCUUGAGAUUGGAAAUGAAUAUAAACGACUUCAGAGAAGCCAUCAAGCCAGCUAAAAAAUAGACAGAUACCAACAGAUAAAAAUCAAAAUCAGCAACGAGAGAGAUUAAAUGUAACAGGCAUUCUUCAAAAGUAUAAGAUGAGAAUCCAAGAUCUUUGAACAAGCUAGCCUUGCCUUUAUAUUGGAAAACCUUUUGAUUAUGUUACCUUAGUAAUCUCCUGACACGGAUUGUAUCACAUGCACAUCGGUGAUCAAAACAUCAGAUAGUUUAUCAAGAUCUAACGAAAGCAGAUCAUCAUCCGACAAUCAAGCGGAUUACGUCCCAAAGCAUUGAAAUGAGGAGAGAAAGAAAGAACAAUAAAAUAUAUUAAAUAAAGAACAUCAAAUAGUUUAGUUGUUGGUUUGCUGUACCUGGCUGCCAUUGCCCCGACACAGCCUCGUCACGGAUGAAACUGAUGUGAGGCAACAACUUUCGGUUAGUCUUCUGUUUCCGCGGAGAAUCAGAAUCUAAGAUGGAGGACAUGGAAGGAUGUUUUCCAGUUCUCAGCUUCUUCAUCUCAUCAAGGAUGGACGCAAGGUUAAGUGGACAGAGAAGGAUUUCUUUUCUGAGGAGAAGGAUGGG
Molecule: long non-coding RNA, 1226 nt
Filed under: Elaeis guineensis (African oil palm)
Lineage: Eukaryota; Viridiplantae; Streptophyta; Magnoliopsida; Arecales; Arecaceae
Description: long non-coding RNA (EGUI_LNC001968)
Source: RNAcentral